This 302-nucleotide small nuclear RNA is filed under the name Oryctolagus cuniculus (rabbit). RNAcentral describes it as "7SK RNA". It matches the Rfam family "7SK RNA". From Rfam's summary of the family: 7SK was discovered as an abundant small nuclear RNA in the mid-70s but a possible function has only recently been suggested. Two independent studies have found that 7SK RNA binds the CDK9/cyclin T complex (known as elongation factor P-TEFb). The record is from Rfam by way of RNAcentral. Lineage: Eukaryota; Metazoa; Chordata; Mammalia; Lagomorpha; Leporidae.
GGAUGUGAGGGCGAUCUGGCUGCGACAUCUGUCACCCCAUUGCUCGCCAGGGUUGAUUCAGCUGAUCGGGCUGGCUAGCCAGGUGUCCCCCUCCUCCCUCACCCCUCCAUGUGCUUCCCUCCCAAAGCUGUGCGCUCAUCGAAGAGCAUGACCUUCCCCGCCAGAGGAGGACCGGUCUUCGGUCAAGGGCAUACGAGUAGCUGCGCUCCCCUGCUAGAACCUCCAAACAAACUCUCAGGAACAGGGAUCAGCAAAGAUGUCCCCAUUCAGAACUGCCUGUAGUUUGCAACUUCCAUAAAGAC